This is a long non-coding RNA of Salvia splendens (bonfire salvia), 1109 nucleotides long. RefSeq lists it as uncharacterized. Lineage: Eukaryota; Viridiplantae; Streptophyta; Magnoliopsida; Lamiales; Lamiaceae. The transcript is spliced from 2 exons. The record is from RefSeq and is a predicted model, not a curated record.
GAAUAAAAGUAAUUGGGAUACUUUUAUUAAGGAAAAGUGAGUGCAUACAAAUAACUCUACAUCCAAAUGCUUAAUUAAGGAAAUACUACACCCCAUUCCUUGAGCUACAAAUUCAAGUAUUACAUAAAAAUGGACAUACAAUUUUUAUCUACUCCAAAACUAGGGUGAGUAGGGAAGUAGGACAAAAUGGUGAAGCAAGCCAAUUCCUUCCCCUAUCCUCCUCGAUCUUGGGAGGUGCACAAAGAGCCAAAAGGGCAGCUGUGUACCUACAAUUUACACAAAAAAGAGUAUUAGAAUUGUAGACACUUAGGUGAAGGAAAGAGAAGAGGCAAGCUAAAAAAAAGAAAGAAAACAUGGAGAAGAACCAGGCUGAGUGGAACAGCCGAAAGGCUGCCCCCAUGGGUAGAGAGGCAGCCAUUUGUCACAUUUCCAUCUUAGACCAAAAUAGGAGCCAAGACAAAUGAGCAUAGGUGAAAUGAGCUCACUGUACAUACUAAAAAAAGGAAUGUGGAUCAGGUACUCCUUUCCAUCAACCGAGGCUCACGGGAAAGUCAAAGAAGGACUUCCUUCCCUCAAGAAUUUCACCAAAGUAGGCAGGGAAGCCUAUUCAACAAGCUCAAAAGAAGAAGAAACAUGUAGUUCAAAGUAGCAAGUUACACUCCCCAAACCUGCCACAAAUGAUAAGGAAAUCUGCCUAUAAAUACCGUCACCCCUCUCCCCACUCCACACUCAUUUUCUGCCAAACCUGCGCAAGGCGAGGAGUGCGACGGAGUGAGGGACGGCGGCACGAGGCGACGACAGCAAAGAGGGCAGCCAAGAAAACCAAGAGAGUUCACCAAGUGAGGUUGAACGUCAAGAUGGAGAAGAAUUGAUCGGAGUCGAUGCUACUAAAUAGCAUGUGGAUUUCUCGACGAUUCGUGUCUUCAUACACGAAGUCGUUUAAUAGGGACCUCUUUUCCGCUGCAUAUAUAUUUUGUGUUAAGUGAGAAUAUUAUAGUCUCACCUUCGAACUCUGAUUUAGUUGCUAUGGUGAAUGAUUCUAUUUUGAGAUCUUGUAAUCAAAUACUUGGCUUCUAAUUUGUGGUAUCAAUUGAUUGGCCUUUCGGCAA